RNAcentral lists this long non-coding RNA (708 nucleotides) under Homo sapiens (human). RNAcentral's name for it is "HSALNT0016117". The record is from RNAcentral. Lineage: Eukaryota; Metazoa; Chordata; Mammalia; Primates; Hominidae.
GAGAGAAUGGGAGGCCGGAGAGGGGAGGGAGUCAGGCAGGAAGCAGGCAGCGUUAGAGAGUCCUAGCAUGGGAAUGGGACUCUGAGACAGCUGCGGAGGUUCCCUGGCCUCCAUGGAGGCACCUCCCCUCUUCUCUGCUCCUCACAGACAGCUUCCAGGAGAUUUUAGGAAUUACUCUGUUCUUAAAUGGGAGAAGCGCUAAUGCCCAAAUGCUGAGAAGGAGUAAAGCGGAGAAAACAGAGAAAAACAGUCACAAAUAGAGAGAAGUAGGCAGGAAAGGCGGGAAAGGGAACUGUCGAUAAAAGAGAGGCAAGCAGGAUGAGAAUGAGAGAAGGAAAGGGGGCUGGGGAGAGGGCCAGGACUGUCACAUCCAGCAGGGGCUCUCCCUGAGUGCCCCACACUCACCCUACUACCUUCUGUGCACAUGGAGGAUGGAGGCAACCUGAAGGUGAUCUCGCCCAUCUCAAGUUUGAGUUAGUAAGGUUCAUGGAUGAAGAGUCUGAUCUAGAAACCCUCCAAGGACCCCUGCGUCUGUGACCAAAGCUGCUGUCAAUCCUGAGGCCAGAUAUAACAAGAUGAGAGAUGCAGGGUGUUUGUACUUGGUCUUGGCUUAAGUGUCCCAAGUCCCUGGUGUUUGCCAUUCUUUGUGACUGAGUAUCUCCGAGUCUUGAUAUAUCUCAGAAAGGGAUCUUUCUAAAUCAGUUUUAC